AGGGCUGGGGAGGUCCUGAAUACCGAGCUCUGAAGUGUGAGGAUGAUUUGGACAGAAGGAGGGACAUCCUUGGUGGGAUGGGUUCCAGGACCCUCGUGGAUACCAAACUUCACAGAUGCUCAAGUCCCUGUAGUCUCCCCCCACCACCCCCGUAUCCAGGGGUGAGGAACCCGUGGACGCGAAGGACUGACUGUAUUGUCACAUAUAGAAGCGUUUGCUCAUCGCCUUCCUUUUACAGAGAGGAAAGAGACUUGGACUGGUUAAGACUCGCAAGGUAACACGGCUGCUUUCAGAUAUCUUACGAUGAGCCUUUAUUAAUUUUUAUAAUAUAAAAAAACAAUAGAAGUUACAGAAAUAACAUGAGAUCCAGUGACCUGAGCGGACCAGGUUCUUGCCCUGUUUUGGAAGUUUUUCUCUGUGAUCAGGGCUGGCGUGGAUUCCCUGGAAGCUUGUCGGAAGAUUGAAAGAAACAUUUUGGAACAAAGAGGCAGAAGUGGGGAUGUGACGGAGACAGCGCCAAGCACAGUGGGUAGCCUGCCCGGGGUUUGCUCUCUGCCCUGAAAUCCAUUAGCUUCUCGGAAGCCACAGACACGGUAACAGCCUGUGUGUUUAGUCACUGCCAAAGGCACAGCCAGACUGGAACAGGCUGCCCUCUCGCCUGGCCGUUGUCACCAGGAAGCCAGGAAGAGGUGUCUUCAAACAAAGAAGCAGCCCUGCCUCCACGCUGCUGCCAGGAUGCGGGGCUGGACGCGCCAGGGGUGAUGCAGCAAACAUUUGGCAGAGGUAGUGGGACCCGGGCGGGGGGCGACUCCCAGGACACAGCUGUUCCCAGGCCGGGCCGCCUUACAGGGUGUCUCACCCGUGCCACCGUGCGUGUUGGGGAAUGGGGCACACGAAUGGAAUAUUUGCAACUUCUGUAACUCAUGAAGUAUGGCGAUGGAGCUGGCUGUUUAACAGAAAUAAUGCUUUUAUUCAACAAAUGCCUUUUGAAUGUAACGUGCCUGGUCUUGACCUAGGUGCUGGGCAUU
This is a long non-coding RNA of Balaenoptera ricei (Rice's whale), 1028 nucleotides long. RefSeq lists it as uncharacterized. The record is from RefSeq and is a predicted model, not a curated record. The transcript has 3 exons. Lineage: Eukaryota; Metazoa; Chordata; Mammalia; Artiodactyla; Balaenopteridae.